Molecule: ribosomal RNA, 440 nt
Filed under: uncultured bacterium
Lineage: Bacteria
Description: partial 16S ribosomal RNA
Rfam family: Bacterial small subunit ribosomal RNA
Source: RNAcentral
CCUACGUGGGGCAGCAGUGGGGAAUAUUGCACAAUGGGGGAAACCCUGAUGCAGCGACGCCGCGUGAGUGAAGAAGGAUUUCGGUUUGUAAAGCCCUAUCAGCAGGGAAGAAAAUGACGGUACCUGAUUAAGAAGCACCGGCUAACUCCGUGCCAGCAGCCGCGGUAAUACGUAGGGGGCAAGCAUUAUCCGGAUUUACUGGGUGUAAAGUGAGCGUAGACGGCAGAACAAGUCGGGAGUGAAAUGCCAGGGCUUAACCCCGGAACUGCUUUUGAAACUGUGCAGCUAGAGUGCAGGAGAGGUAAGUGGAAUUCCUAGUGUAGCGGUGAAAUGCGUAGAUAUUAGGAGGAACACCAGUGGCGAAGGCGGCUUACUAGACUGUAACUGACGUUGAGGCGCGAAAGCGUGGGGAGCAAACAGGAGUAGAUACCCUAGUAGUC